Molecule: long non-coding RNA, 610 nt
Filed under: Rattus norvegicus (Norway rat)
Lineage: Eukaryota; Metazoa; Chordata; Mammalia; Rodentia; Muridae
Description: long non-coding RNA NONRATT001272
Source: RNAcentral
GGGCAUGAGAACCGCAGCAGGUUAUGGGGCUACUCACAGCGACGGGCGGCCUAAGCUGGGACUGUGCGUCCUCUGCGGCUUGCCGGCGGCCGGAAAGUCGACUUUUGCUCGUGCUCUGGCUCUGCGGUUGCAGCGGGAGCGGGGUUGGGCCGUAGCCGUCCUCUCCUAUGACGAUGUGCUGCCUCUUGCGCUCCCGGACGGCGCGGGCACACAGCCUCGGAUUCACUAGGCUUUUGCCAGAUCUUUUUAGAUUGUCCCGUGGAAACAUGUUUGAAGAGGAAUGGCCAGAGACCCCAACCACUGCCAGAUGAGACCAUCCAGCUCAUGGAGAGAAAGAUAGAAAAACCCAACCCUGAGAAAAACGCCUGGGAACACAACAGCCUCGUAAUUCAGAGUUCAGCCUGUUCUUCGGAAGCCAGUGUGAGAGCGCAUGUGGGCUUCCAGAUGGCGCUCAUAAGCAGAUGCAAACGGACAUAAGUGACAUCGAUGAGGCUUCUCGCCUGUUUGAGAGAGACAUGGAAGAAACUGCAGGAGCAGCUCACUUAUAGGACUUUUUAUGUUUGUCCACUGGAUGUGAGAACUUAAAAAAUAAAAUGCUUUGCAGAAAUGC